Peromyscus leucopus (white-footed mouse) is the source of this 548-nucleotide long non-coding RNA. RefSeq lists it as uncharacterized. The record is from RefSeq and is a predicted model, not a curated record. The transcript has 3 exons. NCBI's taxonomy places the organism in Eukaryota, Metazoa, Chordata, Mammalia, Rodentia, Cricetidae.
UAAGAGCAGGGCGGUCCUGCCCCGCCGGCCCACAAUGACCGGUCACGAGAUGAAGGGUAGGGCCAGCGGUAAGAGCAGGUGGCCCACCGGUUGCAGGUUCUCGAGAGCCCACCGUGAAGGUACCUCCCAGGAUCUUGGCUGGUACACAGAACUGCAAUUCAUUCCAUUCAAACGGGGGCCAUUGAAGGCGGUCAGACAUUUCAGUGCGCACAUGGAAGGUUGGAUCCACAGAUGCUGCGCCCGUAGAUAUGGAGAAUCAACUAUAUACCCUUUGCUUUCAUAAUUUUUUAAGAUUUAUUUGAUUUUACAUGUUUGUUUGUACCUAAGUGUAUAUAUGUGUGCAUCACAUGGGUGAAGGUGCCUGUGGAGCCCAGGGGAGUCACUGGAGUUCAGGUGUGCCACCCAAUGUUUAUGAGAGCCAAACCUAGACCUCUGCAGGAGCAGCAAGUGCUCCUGUCCACUGAGCCAUCUCCCCAGCCCCUCUUAUCUUGAAAUUUGAACCGUGCAGAUACAGUCCUUCACAUGAAUAAACAAAAUUAAAAAUUAAA